RNAcentral lists this small nuclear RNA (330 nucleotides) under Aotus nancymaae (Ma's night monkey). Its description in RNAcentral is "7SK RNA (ENSANAG00000000885.1)". It matches the Rfam family "7SK RNA". From Rfam's summary of the family: 7SK was discovered as an abundant small nuclear RNA in the mid-70s but a possible function has only recently been suggested. The record is from Rfam by way of RNAcentral. Lineage: Eukaryota; Metazoa; Chordata; Mammalia; Primates; Aotidae.
GCAUGUUGCGAUCUGGCUGCAACAAUCUGUCACCCCAUUGACUGUGCAUCCCUUCAGAAGGGAUGCACAGGGAGCAGUGAGGGAGCUGAUCCGGCUGCUCUGGCUGCUUAAGUGAAUCUCCCUUCAUCCCUCACUGCUCCGUGAGUGUCCCUCCUGACGCUGCACACUCGGUCAAAGGGAAGGACCAUUUCCAAUGAGGAGGACUUGCCUUUGGUCAAGGGUAAACAAGGUUGCCCUCCCCUGCUAGAACCUCCAAAGAAGCUCUCAAGAAAAUACGGGACCACAAGAUAAGCCUCCUCUCCAUUUUUUUGUCAAUGGAUAGCAGCAAAU